AACGAACGCUGGCGGCAUGCCUAACACAUGCAAGUCGAACGAGACCUUCGGGCCUAGUGGCGCACGGGUGCGUAACGCGUGGGAACCUGCCCUUAGGUUCGGAAUAACUCCCCGAAAGGGGUGCUAAUACCGGAUAAUGUCUUCGGACCAAAGAUUUAUCGCUUUUGGAUGGGCGCGCGUUGGAUUAGCUAGUUGGUAGGGUACAAGCCUACCAAGGCGACGAUCCAUAGCUGGUCUGAGAGGAUGAUCAGCCACACUGGGAAUGAGACACGGCCCAGACUCCUACGGGAGGCAGCAGUGGGGAAUAUUGGACAAUGGGCGAAAGCCUGAUCCAGCAAUGCCGCGGGAGUGAUGAAGGCCUUAGGGUUGUAAAGCUCUUUUAGCCGGGAUGAUAAUGACAGUACCGGGAGAAUAAGCACCGGCUAACUACGUG
This 433-nucleotide ribosomal RNA is filed under the name uncultured bacterium. RNAcentral's name for it is "partial 16S ribosomal RNA". It matches the Rfam family "Bacterial small subunit ribosomal RNA", at positions 29 to 507 of the family's 1533-position model. The record is from RNAcentral.